GCACGCUCUGCUCAGGGUCCUGUACCAGGUGCGAUUGGCUAUAGAGAACUGGUACGUUUGUCAGUUGGAGAGAUUUUCCUGAGGGGGGGUCCUACCAACUCUUCGCACCACAGCGAUGGUUGUAAUAGUAUGAGUCUGGAGGCCACACAGCAGACAAUCAGCUAGCUGGGAUAUCUGUCUGCACAGAGAGUUCAGAAUUCAGAAUUCCCACCCCACGGCUCAACGCUGGAGAAACGCCGCAGUAGUCAGGCAACACCCUCCAAAAGCCCCAGGCCCCUGAGCUGCAAACGUGCCAGUCAUCCGAGACCUGCCACACAGAUGUGCUCUCUGCUUAUUCGCUUUGGUCUGGAGAGGUGGUCAGGGACUGAACGAGGCAUGCUGUAUGUGAACCAAAGCGCGUCUGAACUGUGGAAGGAGCGCACACUGGCAAACCGUGGAGGCCUCGACUCUUGGAGGCUUCCUGUGCACGAUGCAACAGUAUCCACUGUGGGAGCCUCGCUGAAGCCUGGAAGUGUGCAGUCAGCAUUUUAAACCAUCAUGAGCUACCUUCUGAACCAUCGCCAAGUUAAUAGACAAUGAAAGAUAAUGAGCUUGAAAUUGGGUGUUAAAUUGCAUUUUUGGUUCUCUCCCUUUUUGCUGAAGUUUAACUGUUUCCUGGAGAAAUAAAGUCAUGUUUUCAUGUA
Molecule: non-coding RNA, 683 nt
Organism: Rattus norvegicus (Norway rat)
Lineage: Eukaryota; Metazoa; Chordata; Mammalia; Rodentia; Muridae
Source: RefSeq, a predicted model, not a curated record